CCCUUAGAUGUUCUGGGCCGCACGCGCGCUACACUGACGGAUUCAACGAGCUUACAACCUUGGCCGAAAGGUCUGGGUAAUCUCCAAAAUCCGUCGUGAUGGGGAUAGAUUAUUGCAAUUAUUAAUCUUCAACGAGGAAUGCCUAGUAAGCGCAAGUCACCAGCUUGCGUUGAUUACGUCCCUGCCCUUUGUACACACCGCCCGUCGCUCCUACCGAUUGAAUGGUCCGGUGAAGCGUUUGGACUAUGGUUUUCUGAUGGUCCGCCGUUGGAUUACCGUGGGAAGUUCGUUAAACCUUAUCAUUUAGAGGAAGGAGAAGUCGUAACA
This 327-nucleotide ribosomal RNA is filed under the name uncultured eukaryote. RNAcentral describes it as "partial 18S ribosomal RNA". It matches the Rfam family "Eukaryotic small subunit ribosomal RNA", at positions 1470 to 1796 of the family's 1831-position model. The record is from RNAcentral.